AAGGAGCCACUAUUUCAACGUAACACUUUGGGAACCUCAUCUUUCUUUAGUUGGGUUUGAAGUACGUAAUGGAACUGUAAUAGAUAGGAGUGUAAUAGAAGUACGUAACACAGGAUUUCUUAAAAAGGAUGGAUGUUUUGGAUCAGGGUUGAAUUGCACUAUAUAGUAAUUGUGCUGGUACUUUACUACUUUGUGUAAUGCCAGACUUGCUAUUAUGAGGGCAGUAUAUCAGAACCCUUCCAUCUUGAUUUUGGAUGAGCAACUUCUGCUUUGGAUAGCAGAUCUGAGCAAUUGGUGAGACAGGCAGUGCAACGCUUGAUGGAAGAUCGUACUGUUAGGACAAUCGACUAAUUAUUUUUUUUGCGUCUUUCGCUCUUUUCAAUGUCUUGAAAGGAACUAACAUUUUUUUGUUGUACUUCUUGAAAUACUACUGUGGUGAUAUGUGCCAUAUCAUGGGUUCGAGCUGAGGUUUAGCUGCUUAGUCUAGAAGAAAUUUAAGAGAAGCUUCAAAACAGUCGUAGAUUCGGUAUGUUUCAUCUCCGAAAUUGAAUUGAAUUGAACUGACUGUCAUUCCUUUUUUAUGCUUCAAGAACUGUCAAAAUUGAAUUCAACAGUUUUGUAUGCUUCAAGAAACUAAGUUAUAGUAUGUUUCCGAGCAGUGCCUUUUACCAAUAAGAAGUUAUAGUACGUUUUUGGGCCAAAGUUCAAGCGGUAGUCUUCGGGCAAAAGUUUUCAGUCAGUUAAGAAACAAACCGGAUGUUCCUUGAUUUAUUGCACCAAGGUGUUUGUAAGAAUGCCUCAUCGAAAGUGUUCAUUGAUCUUAUUCCUUUUAGUUGCUACUACUACUGAUGUUGGUAGGGUUAUUCAUCCAAGGUGUAGCUGCGUAGUCAUGGCAGGGAAAUAUAUAGUAGUAGUAAGAACUUGCUCUGUAAAACAAGUGGGUCAAUCUAAGAGAAGCUUAUGCCAUAGCUGAUUUAGGCUAGAAGAAAUUUAAGAGAAGCUUCAAAACAUAUAACACAAAAUACCCAAGUGACCGUGACCUCACUUAACAAGUGGGUCAAUCUAAUGGUUAUGAGGCUUAGUGUAAGCAUAAGGAAAGCUCUACAAUCUAGGGUAAAGGAAAAGAAGCCUAUGUGUGAAUUUUCUUAUUUCUAGGCAUUUAAAGCCUAGCCAUUUGCAAACCACUUGAUAAGUGAUAUAGCCUUCUGUCCAAAAAAUUUUCCCAAUCUUGGUUUGUGAUAUUUUUUUUUGGUUUGUCUUUUCCCUUGCAUUAGGCAAUGACUAGCAAAGAAAAGCCAAAACGUGUUAGCAAUGGAGACAAAGAUUCACGGAUAUCACCCUUUGACGUAUCUUCUAUCUUUUUUAUUUUGAAAAGAAAAAUUGAUAGUCAAUUAGCUAAACGACAUUCUAAUUUCUUAAAGUUGCUUAUACACAUAUUUUAGGAACAAUCCGGUAAAGAGAUAUCAAAAGAAACACUUGCGCAACGUGCCUGAUGAGAAUGAGAACGAAUUUUUAAGCAAACCACCGAAAGGCGAUUGGAACAACACUCACCGAUAAAUACAAGUAUUCAACCUCUCCGAGACGGUAAUAUUAGAGCCGAUGGGCAAGACCACCAUACUGCACAUGUUCCCGAGGAGAUACAAAGAAUAGGGGCAAUGACUAGUAAACAGAAGGCAACCUAAUUAG
Rhododendron vialii is the source of this 1686-nucleotide long non-coding RNA. RefSeq lists it as uncharacterized. The transcript is spliced from 3 exons. The record is from RefSeq and is a predicted model, not a curated record. Lineage: Eukaryota; Viridiplantae; Streptophyta; Magnoliopsida; Ericales; Ericaceae.